CAGCAUCAUUUAUAGCAGAUGGAGCCGUUCUUGUGUUCAAAGACAACUGGACAAAACAAAACUGCACAUGUUCAUGCAAUGAUUUGUUCUCACAAUAGAAUUCAAUGGAGCAGGAUCCUUCCAAUGAAAGACGAUGGAAGGUUUGGCGUAGGCGUUCCUUCCAAUAACCAGACAACAUCUGGUUUAGCCAAAGGAGACAUUUCUACUCACCUGGCAAAAGGUAAAAGGCGUUGUCUGAUUUGUGGCGGCAAGGGACCCUAGAGUUCCCAGAGGCCUUUGUGUUUCGUGCCAGGAUGCUUUGAUGAUGCUUUGAUGAUGCAGCAUGCUGGAAUGCUCUCGGAGCACUUUUCUAUUUUCAGUAUGUAGUUAGCAGGUUUUGCCUACAGCACCUAUAUAUGGGUUUUACCUUUUGGGUGGUUAAAUGUCAAGUGCAAGCAAAUACAGUAUUAUGUGAAAGACUAGAUGAGUUCAUGACCGCAGCCCAUUCGCACGCACCCUUUUUUCUUUCAGAAUAUUACUCGAAACGCACCUGUGACGUAUUCUUUCUUUACCUGAGGUGUUUAGUAUUGAAGUGGUAAUACUUUUUGGAAUAAUAAUCUUCAGUUCUGUGCCAUUUUUUGUGAACUGAAAGCUUAGCUUAAGGUUUAUACAUUGUGUAAACAUUUCUCUGUUUUAUAAGAAAAUUGUAUUUCAGUUUUUCUAAUUCAAAAUUUCAUGUUUAAUUCAAUGUGUUACUUGCCAUUUCUUUGUAAUUAUUUGGGAAAUUUACUAGCAAUUUCUGAGUGAAAAUUGUUUCUGCACCAAUUUUAUUGGGUGAGCUGUUUUUCACCAUCUUCAAGUGAAAUAUGUAUGUUUAUUCUGGUGUAACUUUCACUUUCUGCUUCUAGGUAUAAAAACAUGAUGCUUUCCUGGCAGUGUCAACAGAAUCUGUAAGACGGAUCUGAUCUGAAAAUCACAGUGUUCUCAUGCAUGUUAUAUCAAGUCUCCUCAGCACUAUAUCAUAUUUUUAAAAUCUGUUAGAGAUAUAAUAUCAGUAAGUAACUUGUGAAUUAGCUAGUGGGUAAUCAAAAUAAUCUCUUUAAAAGUCAUCCAUACUUAGUUUACAAGAUCUUUAAAUGGAUAUAUGUAAGAAUUAGCUAUUUCCAUAAAAACUAAUUUGUACAAUAUGAUGAUUAUUCUCUUAAAGUCUGAUAUGACAUUGCAUUCAACUCUGUAUGUGGUUCUCUUUAAUAUCUCAAAUUCUUUUAGAGAUUUGCAAAAACCGCAUGUGGACAGGCUCGUGUCAGAGUUUGCAAACAUCAUAUUAUCAGUAAUUUUCUGUAAAAAUUGUAAAAAGUCUAGAUUGUGAGACUAAAUUUAAUUUAUAGAAGCCCUCAUGGCUUGAAAUGGUCGAAACGUCCCGCCAUCUAUUGUGCCAACUUUUCAUAUUAGACAAGCACAGUAAGUGCGUACAUCUGAGCUCAUUAGACAUUUGCAAAUUGCGUUCUGUCAAAAAAGAAUUCUGAGAAUGUUUUGGGGAUCUUCCAUAAUAGCUUUCUGAAGUUGUUUUGUCGCUGAUGGAGAUGACUGGAGGCGUAAGAGGUGUGUUUGUGUGUGUCUGAAAUGUGUGUUUACCACAGAGAAAGCUGGAUUAGGAUGAAAAGACUGAAUGAAGAAUGAAGUACCUGGCUUUGUGAAAUGAAAGCUCUGUUUCAAAACUAUAUAUAUAUAUAUAUAUAUACUGUAUAUAUAAGAGAGAGAGAGAGAGAGAGAAAUUAAUACUUUUCUAGAAAGAAUGUAUUAAAUUGAUCAAAAUUGAGAGUAAAAGAUUUGACAAACUUGUUUGGAAAAAAAAAAACAUUGUUUCAAAUAAUAAUCAGAAAUGUUUCUUGAGCAUCAAAUCAUCAUAUUAGAAUGGAUAUUUCUGAAGGAUCAUGUGACACUGAAGACUGGAGUAAUGAUGCUGAAAAUUCAGCUUUGAUCACAGGAAUACAUUUUUAAAUAUAUUUACAUAGAAAACUUUAAAAUUGAAAAAUAUUUCACAAUAUUACUGAGCAGAAGAGACUCCUUUCAAAACAAUAGAGAAAAAAAAACAAAAAAAAAAACACUUGAACAGAAGUGUAGCCAGCAUCGACUCAAUAGUAAGGGCGCACACAAAUAUUGGUGUCACGAUUAGUGCGUUUUACUUUCGUUUUCAUGGACUUUUAGUUUGUUUCUCUUUGUUACCUGUUUCCUUUGUUCCAUUUUCCAACUCUUUGUUGGUUACCAUAGUUUUUGAUUCAUUAACACACCUGUUUAUAUUUGAGUUCAUUAUCCUUGUGUAUUUAAGUCCCUCAGUUCAUUCAGUUCAUUGUCCGGUAUUGUUUGUGCCAUGCACGCUGUUUCAUUGUGUUUGCACCCGUUCGGAGAUCUGUUUUGCUUUCUUUAAUAAACCAAGCUGCUGUUUUGAA
Molecule: long non-coding RNA, 2429 nt
Organism: Ctenopharyngodon idella (grass carp)
Lineage: Eukaryota; Metazoa; Chordata; Actinopteri; Cypriniformes; Xenocyprididae
Exons: 2
Source: RefSeq, a predicted model, not a curated record